RNAcentral lists this transfer RNA (64 nucleotides) under Suillia sp. HeleYD1. Its description in RNAcentral is "tRNA-Ile". The record is from RNAcentral. Lineage: Eukaryota; Metazoa; Arthropoda; Insecta; Diptera; Heleomyzidae.
AAUGAAUUGCCUGAUUAAAGGAUUACUUUGAUAGAGUAAAUCAUGUAAAUUUUUACAUUCAUUA